UUAAAUUGAAGAGUUUGAUCAUGGCUCAGAUUGAACGCUGGCGGCAGGCCUAACACAUGCAAGUCGAACGGUAACAGGAAGCAGCUUGCUGCUUUGCUGACGAGUGGCGGACGGGUGAGUAAUGUCUGGGAAACUGCCUGAUGGAGGGGGAUAACUACUGGAAACGGUAGCUAAUACCGCAUAACGUCGCAAGACCAAAGAGGGGGACCUUCGGGCCUCUUGCCAUCGGAUGUGCCCAGAUGGGAUUAGCUUGUUGGUGGGGUAACGGCUCACCAAGGCGACGAUCCCUAGCUGGUCUGAGAGGAUGACCAGCCACACUGGAACUGAGACACGGUCCAGACUCCUACGGGAGGCAGCAGUGGGGAAUAUUGCACAAUGGGCGCAAGCCUGAUGCAGCCAUGCCGCGUGUAUGAAGAAGGCCUUCGGGUUGUAAAGUACUUUCAGCGGGGAGGAAGGGAGUAAAGUUAAUACCUUUACUCAUUGACGUUACCCGCAGAAGAAGCACCGGCUAACUCCGUGCCAGCAGCCGCGGUAAUACGGAGGGUGCAAGCGUUAAUCGGAAUUACUGGGCGUAAAGCGCACGCAGGCGGUUUGUUAAGUCAGAUGUGAAAUCCCCGGGCUCAACCUGGGAACUGCAUCUGAUACUGGCAAGCUUGAGUCUCGUAGAGGGGGGUAGAAUUCCAGGUGUAGCGGUGAAAUGCGUAGAGAUCUGGAGGAAUACCGGUGGCGAAGGCGGCCCCCUGGACGAAGACUGACGCUCAGGUGCGAAAGCGUGGGGAGCAAACAGGAUUAGAUACCCUGGUAGUCCACGCCGUAAACGAUGUCGACUUGGAGGUUGUGCCCUUGAGGCGUGGCUUCCGGAGCUAACGCGUUAAGUCGACCGCCUGGGGAGUACGGCCGCAAGGUUAAAACUCAAAUGAAUUGACGGGGGCCCGCACAAGCGGUGGAGCAUGUGGUUUAAUUCGAUGCAACGCGAAGAACCUUACCUGGUCUUGACAUCCACGGAAGUUUUCAGAGAUGAGAAUGUGCCUUCGGGAACCGUGAGACAGGUGCUGCAUGGCUGUCGUCAGCUCGUGUUGUGAAAUGUUGGGUUAAGUCCCGCAACGAGCGCAACCCUUAUCCUUUGUUGCCAGCGGUCCGGCCGGGAACUCAAAGGAGACUGCCAGUGAUAAACUGGAGGAAGGUGGGGAUGACGUCAAGUCAUCAUGGCCCUUACGACCAGGGCUACACACGUGCUACAAUGGCGCAUACAAAGAGAAGCGACCUCGCGAGAGCAAGCGGACCUCAUAAAGUGCGUCGUAGUCCGGAUUGGAGUCUGCAACUCGACUCCAUGAAGUCGGAAUCGCUAGUAAUCGUGGAUCAGAAUGCCACGGUGAAUACGUUCCCGGGCCUUGUACACACCGCCCGUCACACCAUGGGAGUGGGUUGCAAAAGAAGUAGGUAGCUUAACCUUCGGGAGGGCGCUUACCACUUUGUGAUUCAUGACUGGGGUGAAGUCGUAACAAGGUAACCGUAGGGGAACCUGCGGUUGGAUCACCUCCUUACCUUAAAGAA
This 1554-nucleotide ribosomal RNA is filed under the name Escherichia coli. RNAcentral's name for it is "bacterial SSU rRNA". It matches the Rfam family "Bacterial small subunit ribosomal RNA". The record is from RNAcentral. Lineage: Bacteria; Pseudomonadati; Pseudomonadota; Gammaproteobacteria; Enterobacterales; Enterobacteriaceae.